This 499-nucleotide long non-coding RNA is filed under the name Marmota monax (woodchuck). Lineage: Eukaryota; Metazoa; Chordata; Mammalia; Rodentia; Sciuridae. The record is from RNAcentral.
UGCCAGGGCGUCCAUGCUGCGUCUGGGCAAGCACUGCCUGACUGUCCUUCAAGGAGACAGAGCCAACGGAAGCUCUGCGCAGGGCCGAGCUCUGCUCCGGAUCACGGACAUCCUGACCCCUGGGCUCCUCCGAAUGUGACUGCACCUGGACAUAGUGCCUUUAAAGAGGUGCCAAGGCCAAGUGGGGCACUAGGGUAGCCCUGGCCCAGCCUGUGUUCUCAUAAGAGACCAAGACACAGAGGGGUUUCCCUGAGAGACUCAGGAGGAGAGGCCAUCGCACACUGAGGAGCCACCGGAGGAGCCAGCCCCACAACACCACCAUCGGGGACGUCCAGCCCCCAGGGCUGUGAGAAAUGAACCUCUGGUUUCAGCCACCGGUCCGUGGGACUUGGCAUGGCACUGAGCGGACCACUUCACCACCUUCACACACCAGGUGUGAGUUCCACGCGUCCUUAAGAGCACCCAUCCCACCCUCUGCCGUGUGAGCAGCUAAGUCAAG